UUGUACCGGGCACUGUGGAUCUUUGCUUUAUAUAUAAAGUGGGGCGAAAGCCUUUUUCGGCAAAUAAUAAAAAAUCAGCAAAAAAAGACGCAUCAUAAAGAAAAACAGGCACCCCCCUCUUGCAGCUCCCCCAGUCACCGGUUGCAGCUCCCCGCGUCAAACAAUGUUGGAUGCAGCCCUCCGGCAAUGCGUCGACCUUGUAGCACAUCCAGGAGCUGGUUCCAACUAAUUGGGGCACUGGUUCCAGCAAAAACGGAGAUGCUCAACAAAAUCGAAUGGGGAUGGUAGCAAAAACGAAAGAGGGUUGUAGCAAAACAGAUGGGUGAAUCCAGCAAAAUAAGAACCUGGUUCCAGCAAACCCCUUGGUUUCAGAACAAACACACCGUCACCGUCGCCGAUUGCAGCUUGGCCAUCGGGAGAACGGACCUUGAGCCCUUGGCUGUUGUGGCCAUGGAGAGGGCGUGCAACCAGCUGCCGGCGGAGAAGGAAACGAACACGCCCAUGGCUGCGGGCGGCCGGCGAUCCACAAGGGAUUCAAACGAGGUGCAUCCAGCUGACGGCGGUCAUGGACGGCGAGCGCGUUCGCUAGCUGCAUGUGGAUGGGCAGGAAGACGCGGCUGCAUAGGUACAGAAGAUGAGUGUUGAAGGGAUAACAAAGAGAAGUUGCUGGUCGU
RNAcentral lists this long non-coding RNA (674 nucleotides) under Triticum aestivum (bread wheat). RNAcentral describes it as "long non-coding RNA (TAES_LNC010909)". The record is from RNAcentral. Lineage: Eukaryota; Viridiplantae; Streptophyta; Magnoliopsida; Poales; Poaceae.